ACCACUUUACUGAAGACAGGAGAGACGUUGGAGUGCCUUUUGUGCUCUAAAACAGUGCAUUGUCCAAUGGAUCGAACUGUGGGCAUGUUCUUGAUUGGGCCAAUGCCUACCCGACCCAAGCCCGGGCCUGGGCCUUACACGAAUCCUGUUGGGCCAAUCUGAAUUUAAUUGAAGCUUAGUGUUUCAAGUUUUAGCUAACAAUUAUGCCGGCGUGAAUUUAAUUGAAGCUUAAUAUUACAAAUUUUCGUACCAUGGCUUCAAUUUUUUAAUAAGUAUCAUAUAUUCUCGUUAACAAUCAU
RNAcentral lists this long non-coding RNA (299 nucleotides) under Elaeis guineensis (African oil palm). RNAcentral describes it as "long non-coding RNA (EGUI_LNC075554)". Lineage: Eukaryota; Viridiplantae; Streptophyta; Magnoliopsida; Arecales; Arecaceae. The record is from RNAcentral.